RNAcentral lists this ribosomal RNA (253 nucleotides) under uncultured bacterium. RNAcentral describes it as "partial 16S ribosomal RNA". It matches the Rfam family "Bacterial small subunit ribosomal RNA", at positions 524 to 776 of the family's 1533-position model. The record is from RNAcentral.
UACAGAGGGGGCAAGCGUUGUUCGGAAUUACUGGGCGUAAAGGGCGCGUAGGCGGCCCGCUAAGUCGAACGUGAAAUCCCCGGGCUCAACCCGGGAACUGCGUCCGAUACUGGCAGGCUUGAAUCCGGGAGAGGGAUGCGGAAUUCCAGGUGUAGCGGUGAAAUGCGUAGAUAUCUGGAGGAACACCGAUGGCGAAGGCGGCAUCCUGGACCGGCAUUGACGCUGAGGCGCGAAAGCCAGGGGAGCAAACGGG